GGUUGGCUAGCUCAGUUGGUUAGAGCGUCGAGCUAAUAACGCAUUGCUGCAACUCGAAGGCCGUGGGUUCGAAACCCCCGCUGACCA
This 87-nucleotide transfer RNA is filed under the name Rhizoctonia solani AG-8 WAC10335. It matches the Rfam family "tRNA". From Rfam's summary of the family: Transfer RNA (tRNA) molecules are approximately 80 nucleotides in length. Their secondary structure includes four short double-helical elements and three loops (D, anti-codon, and T loops). The record is from Rfam by way of RNAcentral. Lineage: Eukaryota; Fungi; Basidiomycota; Agaricomycetes; Cantharellales; Ceratobasidiaceae.